RNAcentral lists this transfer RNA (71 nucleotides) under Musa acuminata subsp. malaccensis (wild Malaysian banana). It matches the Rfam family "tRNA". Rfam says of the family: Transfer RNA (tRNA) molecules are approximately 80 nucleotides in length. Lineage: Eukaryota; Viridiplantae; Streptophyta; Magnoliopsida; Zingiberales; Musaceae. The record is from Rfam by way of RNAcentral.
GCGGAUAAUAUCUAAUGGUGAAAUUUCUCUUUGCUAAGGAGAAGAUGUGGGUUCGAUUCCCGCUAUCUGCC